Ochotona curzoniae (black-lipped pika) is the source of this 102-nucleotide small nuclear RNA. Lineage: Eukaryota; Metazoa; Chordata; Mammalia; Lagomorpha; Ochotonidae. The record is from RefSeq and is a predicted model, not a curated record.
GUGCUUGCUUCGGCAGCACAUAUACUAAAACUGGAACGAUACAGAGAAGAUCAGCAUGGCCCCUGUGCAAGGAUGACAUUUGAAAGUUUACAAAGUGCUUUU